RNAcentral lists this ribosomal RNA (747 nucleotides) under Sisubiotus spectabilis. RNAcentral describes it as "partial large subunit ribosomal RNA". It matches the Rfam family "Eukaryotic large subunit ribosomal RNA", at positions 74 to 640 of the family's 3401-position model. Lineage: Eukaryota; Metazoa; Tardigrada; Eutardigrada; Parachela; Macrobiotidae. The record is from RNAcentral.
AUUCCCAUAGUAACUGCGAGUGAAAGGGGAACAGCCCAGCGCCGAAUCCUGAUACUGGCAACGGUGUUGGGAACUGUGGCGUGAAGAGAGUUCUGAUUAGCGAGGCUUGCCGACGUAAGUCCUCCUGAGCGAGGCUCCAUCCCAUGGAGGGUGCAAGGCCCGUAUCGUUCGGUAGCUGUCGCUGAUUUCUACUCUCGGAGAGUCGCCUUGUUUGCGAGUACAAGGUGAAGUCGGUGGUAAACUCCAUCGAAGGCUAAAUAUGACCACGAGUCCGAUAGCGAACAAGUACCGUGAGGGAAAAUUGAAAAGCACUUUGAAGAGAGAGCGAAACAGUGCGUGAAACCGCUCAGAGGCAAGCAGAUGGGGCCUCGAAGGCAAAGCAGCGAAUUCAGCGAUCAGUCCGUGUAGCUGGCUGACGUUCAAGAUGGUUAAACACUUGGCGUUGGUUGUGCUUCUGCAUGGCUGGUCGUGCACUUUCGUUGUUUGUACGCCACCGCCGUUGAGCGAGCAUCCGUUGGGCUAGCUAAUGAAGCCUUACUCCUUCACGGGCGUAGGUGCUUAUGGCUUACUUCAACGCGUUUGCGCCUCAACCGGUCAUGUCAGCAUGUGCCAGCGUUUGCGUUGGUCCGGUACGCUCCGAUUAGAUGUCGUGGGAUGACGAACUUGUUCGGCUCCUCGACGUUUGGUGGACCCGUUGCCGGAUUUCAACCUAGGCACAUUGUAGAUUCGGUGGCGAGUAGAUGGCUG